GUCCUACGGGACGCAGCAGUGGGGAAUAUUGCACAAUGGGGGAAACCCUGAUGCAGCGACGCCGCGUGAGCGAGGAAGUAUUUCGGUAUGUAAAGCUCUGUCAGCAGGGAAGAAGAAUGACGGUACCUGAAGAAGAAGCACCGGCUAACUACGUGCCAGCAGCCGCGGUAAUACGUAGGUGGCGAGCGUUAUCCGGAAUGAUUGGGCGUAAAGGGUGCGCAGGCGGUCCUGCAAGUCUGGAGUGAAACGCAUGAGCUCAACUCAUGCAUGGCUUUGGAAACUGGAGGACUGG
Molecule: ribosomal RNA, 292 nt
Filed under: uncultured bacterium
Lineage: Bacteria
Description: partial 16S ribosomal RNA
Rfam family: Bacterial small subunit ribosomal RNA
Source: RNAcentral